AAAGGAAGAUUAAUCCAGGAUGGGAUCAUGAGUUCACAUGUCCGCAUGAUUAAAGGUAUUUUCCGGUAGACGAUGGGGAUGCGUUCCAUUAGAUAGUAGGCGGGGCAACGGCCCACCUAGUCAACGAUGGAUAGGGGUUCUGAGAGGAAGGUCCCCCACAUUGGAACUGAGACACGGUCCAAACUCCUACGGGAGGCAGCAGUGAGGAAUAUUGGUCAAUGGGCGAUGGCCUGAACCAGCCAAGUAGCGUGAAGGAUGACUGCCCUAUGGGUUGUAAACUUCUUUUAUAAAGGAAUAAAGUCGGGUAUGCAUACCCGUUUGCAUGUACUUUAUGAAUAAGGAUCGGCUAACUCCGUGCCAGCAGCCGCGGUAAUACGGAGGAUCCGAGCGUUAUCCGGAUUUAUUGGGUUUAAAGGGAGCGUAGAUGGAUGUUUAAGUCAGUUGUGAAAGUUUGCGGCUCAACCGUAAAAUUGCAGUUGAUACUGGAUGUCUUGAGUGCAGUUGAGGCAGGCGGAAUUCGUGGUGUAGCGGUGAAAUGCUUAGAUAUCACGAAGAACUCCGAUUGCGAAGGCAGCCU
This 577-nucleotide ribosomal RNA is filed under the name uncultured Bacteroidales bacterium. RNAcentral's name for it is "bacterial SSU rRNA". It matches the Rfam family "Bacterial small subunit ribosomal RNA", at positions 154 to 727 of the family's 1533-position model. The record is from RNAcentral. Lineage: Bacteria; Pseudomonadati; Bacteroidota; Bacteroidia; Bacteroidales.